This is a small nucleolar RNA of Tachyglossus aculeatus (Australian echidna), 138 nucleotides long. NCBI's taxonomy places the organism in Eukaryota, Metazoa, Chordata, Mammalia, Monotremata, Tachyglossidae. The record is from RefSeq and is a predicted model, not a curated record.
CCCCUCUUAGGGUUGUACUUGGAGAGUUUCCAGUACUCUACCAGUCUUGACUAUGGGAGGGAGAGUCAAGAAGAGGCAUAUCCAUUCCAUUCCUAGCCUGGGCAGUGGCUAGUGAGUGGAAGGGAAUCUGCUACAAGU